AUAAUAAAAUUAAUAAACAGGACAGGUGUUUAGUUUUCAUCGGGAGACCUUAGGCUUGGUUAGAAAUGUGGCCUUGGUUUGUCCCUUCUUCGUGGACAAAUUAAUAAAUACACUGUCCACCCCUUCUUCGUGGACAGCCAAGUAUAUAUUGUCCUACUCUAAAUACACUGCCCACCCCUUCUUCUUGAGUCCCGUUACAAACAACGUCUGCACCACCCAAGAUUUUCCUCGUCUUCAAAUCCUUCCCUCGGAGGCGGCGGCGGCGGCGGCAAAGUUUUGGAUUCUCCCCGAUCCUUAGUGACCUCUUCCGGCGUCUGCGCUUUGAGGUUAAGGGCGAGGGCGAGUAGGAGGGGCACCCUAUCUUCCUCUUCCGCGCGUUCCGGUUUUGUUUCCGUCUUUGCUUGGUUGAGUGUGGAUUGAGUGAACCUUCGUCGCUACCACAGAAGCGUUGUGCAGUACCAAUGGUUGGGUGUCGUGAAUUUUUUUUCCUUCAUAUAGAUUUGACAACUUUAUUGCCAAAAAAGAAUAGAUUUAACAACUUUGGAGAGAUUGAAUUUUUGUUUUUGUAGAAUUGGUGAUGAAUGGCUGGUUGAUUGGGUUUAAUCUUUAUUUCCUUGAGGGUUUCUAAGCAGGAUAUAUUUGCCCCUUCAUCACCUUCUCCUUCAAUAUCAGUAUUGUCUAAUGCUGAUAUAUCAAAGAAGCUACUUGAGCAGUGCCGUGCACCUGACAAUGUCGCUACAGAGCAGCGCUGUGCACCUGACAAUGUCGCUACAGAGAAGCGCCGUGCACCUGACAAUGUCGCUACAGAGCAGCGACGUGCCCCUGACAAUGUUGCUACAGAAAAAUCCCCUCCCCUAUCUCAAAGCAACAACAGCUGGUGGGCUAGAUGGUUCUCAUGUGGGAGUGGGAGUGGGAGUAGAUGACGCAGUUUUGCUGUAUAGCGAAGACCAAGCUGAACCAUGGUAUAAGUUUACAGGAGAAUUUAGCUAACAGGAAAAUGUAUUCCCAUUACUCAUUUAUUUGGAUUUUUGGAGAAAUUAGUUAGGAUACAGAGCCUUGAAUUUUGGUUUGGUUAUAAUGGAUGAAUUUUGGGUUGGUUAUAAUGGAUGAAUUUGAUUUU
RNA transcript from Rosa rugosa (rugosa rose), 1120 nucleotides. RefSeq lists it as uncharacterized. The transcript is spliced from 4 exons. NCBI's taxonomy places the organism in Eukaryota, Viridiplantae, Streptophyta, Magnoliopsida, Rosales, Rosaceae. The record is from RefSeq and is a predicted model, not a curated record.